This 5856-nucleotide long non-coding RNA is filed under the name Cinara cedri. The record is from RNAcentral. Lineage: Eukaryota; Metazoa; Arthropoda; Insecta; Hemiptera; Aphididae.
ACACAAAGGGACCCUUUUACGAUCAAUACCUAUUUUAUUUGGUUACAUCACUCAUACGGUCUCACACACUCACACCACUCAUACCAUUGUUCGCUUUCCCAGUUCAUGUCAUUUAGAAUACGAAACGGUGAUGGUAAGACGUAGAUAUAGUCUCUCUGAGAGACUAUAUAAAUACUCUACUCUCUAGUGCUUUAAUACUAGAUUACAACUUAUCUACCCGCUACUACAAAUAUCUGUGCUACUUAGUAAGUAUGAGUGAGCUAUUAUUUAAUUUAAUUUAAUUAACUAUAGUAAUUAAUAUAUUACCAUGUUUUAUAAUAUCUAUUAUUACCAUGAUUUUAGGUAAAACACGCGAUUGAAAUUCAAACAGUAAAUAUUCAUCACAGACCAUAGUAUAAUCUUAUGACUCAUGGGAAAUUCAUGGAUUUCAGAUUUGUGGUUAACGUGCAUGAUUCUGCUCUGAUAUGCGGUCUUCAUAUAGGUAUAUAAAAUAUAUAAUAAUAAUAUAAUAUUAAAAAACCAACCUGGCAGUGUUAUAUUAUAUAAUAGAGCAUCGUGUAUAGGCACACUAAUGAAUAAUAAUUUACAAAAAUUAAAAUUUCAAACAAAACAAUUAAAUAGUAAAAUAAACAAAUAUAAAUUGGUUGCUAUUGUGUUUAGGACAAUUUACCAUAAUAUUAUUAUAUUGGAGUGCACUUGAAAGUAAAUAAUAUAUUCAAUUAGUUAAACUCAUAAAACAUUCCAUCCUUCUCUUACAUGUUAGUGAAAUAUAUUUAAACAACAGAAAUGUUAAUAAAAUUUAAUAUUUUGGUAUAUGUAUUUUAUUAUUAAUUAUACGGGAGUACAGAACGACAGAAAAAAAUAAGGUGAUAAAAUAUUUUAGUAUUAAUUUUUAUUAGAUAGAGUGAUUUUAGGUUGGAGAGAGUAUUUGUUAGACGCAUUAAACAGUCAAGAGGUUAAUUGCUGCAGUAAUUUGUAGUACGUUUGGGUACUACAUAAGGGGUGAGGGAGUGAGUGGAGUGCUGAAGAACUCGGAAAUUAAUACAAGAGAGGAAGGAAGGUACAUCAAACGAGUAGUCGUGAAUGGGGUGGGGAAUAUUCAAAGUAAACCAGCGAAGGACAGAUUUUAUUAUUUUAAAAUUGGUUAUACUCAAUAUGCAAUAGAGCAUUAUCAUGAAUCAUGAUCAAAUUUGACCCUAAUUACUUUCUUAAAUGAGAGAAGAAGGUGACAGUCAUAGUUUAUAAUUAACUUGUACAUCUAGAAUUGAUAUGGUCAAAACGAUUAGCACUGCAUCACUGUAGUACCAGUGUACCAGUACUACCUUGAACAACACAUGUGUGAUCGAGAGAACUAAUAGUAUCAAUUUUCUAUUAGACAUUAGGUAUUGCAUAGAGUAUUUAAAUCAUAUGAUAUUGGUACAAAUUUCCAAUUGUAUACACGUAACUAUAAAUCUAUAAUACAGUUGUAAUCAAGUUGUUAGUUCUCAUUAUAGAAGGCAAAUUAGAAAGGGUUUCCAAAAUUCACUUAAACGAUAGUGGAAGGCUUCAUUAUCUCUUCUGAUGGUUUGAUUAAGCCUCAUUUUUUAAAUUUAUAUAUAUAUAUAUAGUUAUGGCUGGGGUGACGAAGUGAAUUAGGAUUAAUUGAUAAAUAUUAAUAAAAUAUUAUUUGCAUGAGUUUGUUUGUAUGCAAUAUCAGGAUCAUAAAUUACAUACAAAUUGUGGGGGGGGGGGGGGCUAUAAAAUAGCUAAACUGUUCAAAAUAUUAAACCGGCUGUAUUUUUGCUUAAAUACCUAGUUAUUAACUAGUAAGUUUCUUAAUAUUGUUUUGUAAGAUUACUGUUGUAUUUUAAUUUUAUAAAAUUAAAACUUCUAGUAUGGAAUAUACUCUAUCAACUUCCAAUUCCACCUGUUGCAUCAAAUACAUUUCUAGUUGUACUGUAAUUUCCUAUUUCAGUCUUUGAUAUACAACAUGACGAAACUAAGCAAUAUUGCGAGGUAUAGAUAAAAUUUAUCAUCAUAAAUGAUUUUUUUUUUUAUAUAGAAUUACAAACAUUAACAAAAAAAACUACAAUAAUAUUGUUAUUGGCUGAUAUUGAAAAAUAAAAGUAUAGAAAUUAGAAUAUUAAACUGACAGCCAUCUAGACAUUAUCACACAUUAUUUGUUUAGGUUUUUUAAUGUCAGCUGUAAUAUUUUUUGUUUUAAUGAUUGGUAACAAUAUUUUUUAGCUAAUUUAUUUUUAUUAUUUAAUGUAAACCCCACACAAAUGAGUAACUGAAGAAAGAUGAAAAGCAGACCAAACUUAUCAACUAACUUGUAAAUCUAUGGAAUAAACUUUUUUGCAUAUUGUUUACUCCAUCAUGAGGAGUGGCUCAUGGUUAGGUCUCUUUACUUUAUGUUGAUAUUAGAUUUUUCACUACUCAAUGUCUUUCUCUUUAUAUGUAGAAUGUAUAUGGAUACAAAAUAUUAAAUAUUUAUGUAGGUUCUAGUUAUUUUAUAACUACUGAUGAUAACAAGUAAAUUUGUCAGUAUCCACCCAGUGAACAUUUCUUUUCAGAAAAAGUCCUAUAAAUGAUAAUCUGAGUAAACUUUCUGGUAGAAAAAGAGUUUAAAUAAAAAAAAAUUAAUGUAAAACCAAUAUAUAUCUAGAAAAUAGACUAAUAUCUAAUUUAAUAAUACUAAUGUCUCAAAACUUAAAAAUAAUUAAUUAAUAACAUUUAAUCUGGUUAUAGAUGUGAUGGAAAUUAAAACUGCAACUUCUAUGUAUACCUACAAUUAUGUGUCUUUCAACAGUGAAUAAGCACUGUAGCAAGUUGGGUUUGUUGUUCUUCUGUCAACCACCAAUCUAGAAUGUGAUCUCAAAUUAUAUUGAAAAAUAUUGGUUCAUUAUGGUAAAUAUGGUCUAAGAAAAGUUAAAUGUAUUGUGCUAAAAGCGCUAAGAACUUCUAAUAAUUAUGGUGGAAAUUUAUUACAAGUUUAUACAUAUAAUUAUCAAUUCUUCUAUAUAUAUUGUAGUGUAAAUGAACCAGAAAUACUUUACACUUGUGUUUUAUCAACUGUUUAUAAUAUUGCUACUUAAAAACUACCAAACAAACUGCACAAGAUGGAUCUGUUCACUCACAAAAAGCAAUACUUUUUCAAAUAUAUAUGAACAUAUUAUUAAAAGUUCAUGAAAGUGGUUGUGCAUGGGGUGUAAAGGGACUUUAUAUCCCAUGGACAACCACUUAUAUAUCUUUCAAUGAAAAUGAUCCAGAAAUAUUUAAAACUUGUGUUUUAUCAAUUGUUUAUAGUAUUUCGACUUGUAAACUAUUAAACAAACUGGACAAGGUGAAUCUGUUCACAACCUGAAAUACUUACACAAAUAUAAGUGAACAUAUUAUUGAGAGUUCAUGAAAGUGGGUGUGCAUGGGAUGAAAAGGGACUUCUCAUCCCAUGGACAUCCACUUAUAUAUCUCUCAGUGAAAAUGAUCCAGAAAUACUUAAAACUACCAAACAAACUGAAAAAGAUGGAUCUGUUCACACCCUGAAAUACUUACUCAAAUAUAAGUGAACAUAUUAUUAAAAGUUCAUGAAAGUGGUUGUGCAUGGGGUGAAAAGGGACUUCUCAUCCCAUGGACAACCACUUAUAUAUCUUUCAAUGAAAAUGAUCCAGAAAUAUUUAAAACUUGUGUUUUAUCAAUUGUUUAUAGUAUUUCGACUUGUAAACUAUUAAACAAACUGGACAAGGUGAAUCUGUUCACAACCUGAAAUACUUACACAAAUAUAAGUGAACAUAUUAUUGAGAGUUCAUGAAAGUGGGUGUGCAUGGGAUGAAAAGGGACUUCUCAUCCCAUGGACAUCCACUUAUAUAUCUCUCAGUGAAAAUGAUCCAGAAAUACUGAAAACUACCAAACACACUGGACGAGAUGGAUCUGUUCACAACCUGAAAUACUUACUCAAAUAUAAGUGAACAUAUUAUUGAAAGUUCAUGAAAGUGGGUGUGCAUGGGAUGAAAAGGGACUUCUCGUUCCAUGGACAUCCACUUAUAUAUCUUUCAAUGAAAAUGAUCCAGAAAUAUUUAAAACUUGUGUUUUAUCAAUUGUUUAUAGUAUUUCUACUUGUAAACUAUUAAACAAACUGCACAAGAUGGAUCCGUUCACCCACAACAUAAAACACUUACUCAAAUAUAGGUGAACAUAUUAUUGAAAGUUCAUGAAAGUGGGUGUGCAUGGGAUGAAAAGGGACUUCUCGUCCCAUGGACAUCCACUUAUAUAUCUUUCAGUGAAAAUGAACCAGAAAUACUUGACACUUGUGUUUUAUCAAUUAUAAUAUUUCUACUUGAAAAAGGCCAAACAAACUGCACAAGAUGGAUCUGUUCACUCACAACAUGAAACACUCAAAUAUAUAUGAACAUAUUAUUAAAAGUUCAUGAAAGUGGUUGUGCAUGGGGUGUAAAGGGACUUUAUAUUCCAUGGACAACCACUUAUAUAUCUUUCAAUGAAAAUGAUCCAGAAAUAUUUAAAACUUGUGUUUUAUCAAUUGUUUAAAGUAUUUCUACUUGUAAACUAUUAAACAAACUGCACAAGAUGGAUCUAUUCACUCACAACAUGAAAUACUUACUCAAAUAUAUGUGAACUUAUUAUUGAAAAUUCAUGAAAGUGGGUGUGCAUGGGAUGAAAAGGGACUUCUCGUCCCAUGGACAUCCACUUAUAUAUCUUUCAAUGAAAAUGAUCCAGAAAUAUUUAAAACUUGUGUUUUAUCAAUUGUUUAAAGUAUUUCUACUUGUAAACUAUUAAACAAACUGCACAAGAUGGAUCUAUUCACUCACAACAUGAAAUACUUACUCAAAUAUAUGUGAGCUUAUUAUUGAAAAUUCAUGAAAGUGGGUGUGCAUGGGAUGAAAAGGGACUUCUCAUCCCAUGGACAUCCACUUAUAUAUCGCUCAGUGAAAAUGAUCCAGAAAUACAGAAAACUACCAAACACACUGGACGAGAUGGAUCUGUUCACAACCUGAAAUACUUACUCAAAUAUAAGUGAACAUAUUAUUAAAAGUUCAUGAAAGUGGUUGUGCAUGGGGUGUAAAGGGACUUUAUAUCCCAUGGACAACCACUUAUAUAUCUUUCAAUGAAAAUGAUCCAGAAAUAUUUAAAACUUGUGUUUUAUCAAUUGUUUAUAGUAUUUCGACUUGUAAACUAUUAAACAAACUGGACAAGGUGAAUCUGUUCACAACCUGAAAUACUUACUCAAAUAUAAGUGAACAUAUUAUUGAGAGUUCAUGAAAGUGGGUGUGCAUGGGAUGAAAAGGGACUUCUCGUUCCAUGGACAUCCACUUAUAUAUCUUUCAGUGAAAAUGAACUAGAAAUUCUGGGAACUUGUGUUUUAUCAAUUAUAAUAUUUCUACUUGAAAAAGGCCAAACAAACUGCACAAGAUGGAUCAGUUCACUCACAACAUGAAAUACUUACUCAAAUAUAUGUGAACUUAUUAUUAAAAGUUCAUGAAAGUGGUUGUGCAUGGGGUGAAAAGGGACUUCUCAUCCCAUGGACAACCACUUAUAUAUCUUUCAAUGAAAAUGAUCCAGAAAUAUUUAAAACUUGUGUUUUAUCAAUUGUUUAUAGUAUUUCGACUUGUAAACUAUUAAACAAACUGGAAAAGAUGGAUCUAUUCACUCACAACAUGAAAUACUUACUCAAAUAUAUGUGAACUUAUUAUUGAAAAUUCAUGAAAGUGGGUGUGCAUGGGGUGAAAAGGGACUUUUCAUCCCAUGGACACCCACUUAUAUAUCUUUCAGUGAAAAUGAUCCAAAAAUACUAAUAACUUGUGUUUUAUUAAUUGUUUAUAAAUUUCUACAUGAAAAAAGCCAAACAAACUGCACAAGAUG